AACGAACGCUGGCGGCAUGCCUAACACAUGCAAGUCGAACGAGACCUUCGGGCCUAGUGGCGCACGGGUGCGUAACGCGUGGGAACCUGCCCUUAGGUUCGGAAUAACUCCCCGUAAGGGGUGCUAAUACCGGUUAAUGUCUUCGGACCAAAGAUCUAUCGCCUUUGGAUGGGCCCGUGUUGGAUUAGCCAGUUGGUAGGGUAAAAGCCUACCAAGGCGACGAUCCAUAGCUGGUCUGAGAGGAUGAUCAGCCACACUGGGACUGAGACACGGCCCAGACUCCUACGGGAGGCAGGAGUGGGGAAUAUAGGACAAUGGGCGAAAGCCUGAUCCAGCAAUGCCGCGUGAGUGAUGAAGGCCUUAGGGUUGUAAAGCUCUUUUACCCGGGAUGAUAAUGACAGUACCGGGAGAAUAAGCACCGGCUAACUCCGUG
RNAcentral lists this ribosomal RNA (433 nucleotides) under uncultured bacterium. Its description in RNAcentral is "partial 16S ribosomal RNA". It matches the Rfam family "Bacterial small subunit ribosomal RNA", at positions 29 to 507 of the family's 1533-position model. The record is from RNAcentral.